ACGGGUGAGGAAUACAUCGGAAUCUACUUUUUCGUGGGGGAUAACGUAGGGAAACUUACGCUAAUACCGCAUACGACCUACGGGUGAAAGCAGGGGAUCUUCGGACCUUGCGCGAUUGAAUGAGCCGAUGUCGGAUUAGCUAGUUGGCGGGGUAAAGGCCCACCAAGGCGACGAUCCGUAGCUGGUCUGAAAGGAUGAUCAGCCACACUGGAACUGAGACACGGUCCAGACUCCUACGGGAGGCAGCAGUGGGGAAUAUUGGACAAUGGGCGCAAGCCUGAUCCAGCCAUACCGCGUGGGUGAAGAAGGCCUUCGGGUUGUAAAGCCCUUUUGUUGGGAAAGAAAUCCAGCCGGCUAAUACCUGGUUGGGAUGACGGUACCCAAAGAAUAAGCACCGGCUAACUUCGUGCCAGCAGCCGCGGUAAUACGAAGGGUGCAAGCGUUACUCGGAAUUACUGGGCGUAAAGCGUGCGUAGGUGGUUGUUUAAGUCUGUUGUGAAAGCCCUGGGCUCAACCUGGGAACUGCAGUGGAAACUGGACAACUAGAGUGUGGUAGAGGGUAGCGGAAUUCCCGGUGU
Molecule: ribosomal RNA, 578 nt
Filed under: Stenotrophomonas sp. StRD639
Lineage: Bacteria; Pseudomonadati; Pseudomonadota; Gammaproteobacteria; Lysobacterales; Lysobacteraceae
Description: bacterial SSU rRNA
Rfam family: Bacterial small subunit ribosomal RNA
Source: RNAcentral